RNAcentral lists this long non-coding RNA (686 nucleotides) under Chinchilla lanigera (long-tailed chinchilla). RNAcentral describes it as "lncRNA (ENSCLAG00000024628.1)". The record is from RNAcentral. Lineage: Eukaryota; Metazoa; Chordata; Mammalia; Rodentia; Chinchillidae.
UUUUAACUUUUGUUUCUAUAGUUAUUGCUUUGUGUUUCCUAGCAGUCCCCUCCACAUCACCACUGGUUUUCCUCUUGCUUCUAGACAUCCUGGGCUCUGAUUGAGCACUGCACUACUGUAUACUAUGGCACUUUACAGUAAGCACGCAGCAGCACAAGUGUAACAGUGUCCAGCAGACAUAUGAGACAACUGAGCCUCAGCGAGAUGAGGAGCCUGCCUGAGCCGCAGGGUGCGCUCCUGGCCACUUCACUGUAUAAGUUCUUAUGUGUCACAGGAAAUGAUGCUUUUCAGCCACCUACCAAACCAGUGACCCUGGAGAUAAAACUAGAUGGUGGAGUUAAAAGACUUUUUGGAAGUCAAAUGUGUGGCAUAAGAAUGUGUACUCCUAAUCAAGAUGAUCCAACAUGGUGGCCAAAGAUCGGUAGCCCUUGCUCUCUGGCCAAAAUGGUCCCCUGAAGAAGGAUACAGACUUGGGCUCCAAACCAGUCAUUCAACACAAGUCUACAUCUUUUUCAGUAAGUUAAACUUUCUCUCAGGCAUCUUAUCUUUAUAUACCUUCACUGGGUGAUGUAGUAAUUUUUGACUCAAGGAAAAAAAAUCAUAGUUAAAAUGAGACUUGCAACAAAUGACAGGACUUCAUUCUUUUAUAUGGCUGUGUAAUAUUCUACUGUGCAUACAACAUCACA